This 468-nucleotide ribosomal RNA is filed under the name uncultured bacterium. Its description in RNAcentral is "partial 16S ribosomal RNA". It matches the Rfam family "Bacterial small subunit ribosomal RNA", at positions 28 to 507 of the family's 1533-position model. The record is from RNAcentral.
GACGAACGCUGGCGGCGUGCUUAACACAUGCAAGUCGAACGGAAAGGCCCUGCUUUUGCGGGGUGCUCGAGUGGCGAACGGGUGAGUAACACGUGAGUAACCUGCCCUUGACUUUGGGAUAACUUUAGGAAACUGGGGCCAAUACCGGAUAGGAGUUCUUGCUGCAUGGUGUGGGUUGGAAAGUUUCGGCGGUUGGGGAUGGACUCGCGGCUUAUCAGCUUGUUGGUGAGGUAGUGGCUUACCAAGGUUUUGACGGGUAGACGACUUGGGAGGGUGACCGGCCACAUGAGGCCUAAGGUAGGGCCCAGAAUCCAACGGGAGGCAACAGGGGGAAGUAUUACACAGUGGGGGGGAGCCAGAUGCGGCAGCGCCGCGUGCGGAAUAACCGCCUACGGGUUAUGAACCACUGUCGCCUGAGACAAGGCGUGAUUGACGGUAAUGGGUAAAGAAGCACCGGCUAACUACGUG